AGUGAACGCUGGCGGUAGGCCUAACACAUGCCAGUCGAACGGCAGCACAGUAAGAGCUUGCUCUUACGGGUGGCGAGUGGCGGACGGGUGAGGAAUACAUCGGAAUCUACUUUUUCGUGGGGGAUAACGUAGGGAAACUUACGCUAAUACCGCAUACGACCUACGGGUUAAAGCAGGGGAUCUUCGGACCUUGCGCGAUUGAAUGAGCCGAUGUCGGAUUAGCUAGUUGGCGGGGUAAAGGCCCACCAAGGCGACGAUCCGUAGCUGGUCUGAGAGGAUGAUCAGCCACACUGGAACUGAGACACGGUCCAGACUCCUACGGGAGGCAGCAGUGGGGAAUAUUGGACAAUGGGCGCAAGCCUGAUCCAGCAAUACCGCGUGGGUGAAGAAGGCCUUCGGGUUGUAAAGCCCUUUUGUUGGGAAAGAAAAGCAGCAGGUUAAUACCCCGCUGUUCUGACGGUACCCAAAGAAUAAGCACCGGCUAACUUCGUG
Molecule: ribosomal RNA, 492 nt
Filed under: uncultured bacterium
Lineage: Bacteria
Description: partial 16S ribosomal RNA
Rfam family: Bacterial small subunit ribosomal RNA
Source: RNAcentral